Molecule: long non-coding RNA, 4725 nt
Organism: Choloepus didactylus (southern two-toed sloth)
Lineage: Eukaryota; Metazoa; Chordata; Mammalia; Pilosa; Megalonychidae
Exons: 4
Source: RefSeq, a predicted model, not a curated record
AGACUCAAAAAAAUCAAGUUUAAAUUUAUGUUACAGUUUGUUGGGCUCAAGUGGCUUGUGAUUGUAUUUUUAAGAUUUAUAAUCUAGUUUCUUUAAGAUUUAUAAUCUAGUUUCUUAAAGGAGAAGGAAAAAGAACUGCCUAACAGUUAUACAUUUUUGGCUGGGUGAGACUGCCUCCAACAUGGAAACAAGUAUCACACAAAAAGGGACUUAGUUGAAUGUUGUAUGAUAAUUUGUGGAGGGCAUAAAGGAACAGAAUAAACCUCUUAAAACUGUCCUCUGGGUAUUCUGAAACUUCCCCUUUGUUACUUACAUUUAUUAAAAGAGCCAAAAUAAUGCCUAGCCCAGAUGAGGUACCCCUUAUUUUGGGAUCAUAAAACCAGACUAAGAAUCCAGGUGAAACUGGGACUGCUAUAGCCCUGGCUCUACAUGAUCACCUGUCCCUGUGCUCUCACUUAAUAUGAGACAUGUAUUUGGAACUCUGAUACAGAAAGCAUAUCUAAGAUUAGAUUCAUUUAUGAUUUUCAAAUUUUUGUCAGAAACACACAAGAAAAAUAAUUUGUCACACUCAUACGUACACAUGAAUGUAUGCGUACACACCCCCCUGUGCUCUCACUUAAUAUGAGACAUGUAUUUGGAACUCUGAUACAGAAAGCAUAUCUAAGAUUAGAUUCAUUUAUGAUUUUCAAAUUUUUGUCAGAAACACACAAGAAAAAUAAUUUGUCACACUCACACGUACACAUGAAUGUAUGCGUACACACCCCCUUUAUGUGAUGCUCUCUGAUACAUUCUAUUCAUUGCCCACUAAAUUGAGUUCAUGAUCACUUAAAAAGCACUGGUCCAGAGUAAUCAAAUUAGCAAUGUUAGCACACCCAAAUUUUUAACUUUAUUUUGAAAUAACAUGAAAUGAUUUCAGACUUACAGAAAAGGGUAAAGAGUAUAUAAAGAAUUCCUGUUUACCUAGAUUCUCCACGUGAAUAUUUUGCCAUAUUUGUUAAUUCUCUCUAUAUACUUUUUUCUGAGCUGAGAAUAAGUUGUAGACAUGAUGCCUUUUACCCAUAAAUAUUUAAGUAUGUUUUCCCUUAAAAGCAAGGACAUCUUCUUACAUAAUUAUACUUUUUUCAAAAUCAGGAAAUUAAACUUGGAAAAACACAUUACCUAAUCUACAGACAAUUCAAAUCUGUACAAAUUUCACGUUCUUCCCGUUACUCCAAUAAAGUUAUUCCACUAAUACCCUUUAACACUGAUUUGUAAAAUCUAGCAAACAAGUAAGCAAACACAAAACACCACACCCCCACCACACCCCCCUCCUCUAAUAGCAUCUUAUAUAGUAGAACUGCAAUUCUCUUACUUAUUAAUGGGGGUAAAGUAAAUCUAUGACUGUUCUGAAAAUACUUGCUUUACAUCUUCCAGUCUGUUAAACAUUUUAAUUCCAUUGAUUAUAGACCUUACACUGGAAAUCUUCAAGUAACCUGGAUACAUGGCUAGCAUUUUCUACUUAAAGAGAGCAGAAUUUACCUUCAAAUCGUUCUGAAGGUGUAGCAUUGUCUGCUUGAGGUACCACUCCAUGUUCUUUUUUAAAUUUAUCAAAAGCCUUUUUGUUUAUAUCAUCUUUUUGAUGAGGGUCUGAGAAAUGAAAAAUUUUAAUACAUUUUACAUAUUACUUCAUGUAGUCUUUCAUUAAACAGCAUAGAUUUUUUUUUUUAAAUAUGCAGGCAAGGUAACAAAGAAUUGCUUUCUCAAAACUGUAACUCACCAAGUUUUUGGAGACUCUUUGCUUUGCUAAUAACAUCUUUGGCAGUUCUCUUGACUCCACAAGAAGAAUGUAUGUUCAUGUAAUUGGCAAUAACUUCCCAUCUACAGCAGCCAGUAAUGGUUAAGGGGAGAAAAAACAAACACAACAACCCUUGUAUUUUUACUGCAAAAGGUAGCUGUAGUAGCUAGAGAAUUAACUUCAAACUGGUGGUGCAAUUACUGUACUACUAAAAUUACUAUUGGCUGGACUAUUUUUGUUUUUCAUAUGUUUAAAUCGCCUGUAUUUAAUCUAUAAUCUUGGUUAAAUUUAUAAAAACCUUAUGGAUUCUCUGUUCAAAUUAACAGAAAUAAAACCAUACAAUUGUGUAUAUUACCAUUUUUACAUACUCUUAAGAAAAGAGGUAUCACUCUGAAAACAGAGCCUUAGUUUUCACAUCUAUAGAAUGAGGGAAGCUGGAUCACUAAGGUUUCUUUAAGUAUCAGAUGCAAAAUGGAAGGACUCAAGCUUUGAAGUAAGCCAGUUAGAGUUGGGAAACAAUGAAGGAUUAGGUGGCCUUCACUACUAAAAAGAAACUACUGAACACAAAACCUAGUGCCUAGAACAAGCCAUGAAAGAAGCCAACAUUUCAGUCAAGGUUUCUGUUUCAUGACCUUUAGUUUCCUGAGAAACUGAUGAAGCAUCUUGCUGUAUGUAUGUGUAUGUUUGUGUCACUGUAAUUGAUAAAACUAGCAGAUUCAAAAUGGACUUUGCUUUUCACACCUUCCACUGUGGCACAAAAUUUAGUGGAAGGUAGUCUGUCUAGAUACAAACUUAUCUCUGGAAGUAUCAGCUAUAACUGGUGCUGCUAUGUGGGUACCUGUUUACACUAUCCUCAGACUCCAAUAUCUUUUGAAGAAAAGUUUAGUUAAAACCAGUACCUUGAAUUCGUUCCAGCAGGAAAGAGGUUCACAGCUUUAAUUAGUAAUUGUAGAUCAUCUUCAGACCAAUUUUUACUGCCGUUUCCACCUCCACCAAUUGAUUUUUCAGCAUUCCUAGAUGCUUGUCGCAUACGAGCUUCAGCUUCCUCUUUCUCUUUUCUAAUUUGCUCAUUUAUUUCUUCUAUCUACACAAAUAUCAUAGGUAAGUCAGGGACUUUAAGCAUCUUGCCUACUCUACUCUCCCUUUCUGGCUGGUUCUCUGUGGUGGUCUACUCUCAGUAUUACCAUCUCUCUGACCCUAGACUCCUCCCAGAUCAACUCCAAACCAGCACCAGCUUUUCUCUCUGGCUUUUCCUCAUUCUGCCUUCUAGAUUGCAUAGCUCUGAGGAAUCAAGAACCACUCAUGCCUGACCUGCCCUGUAUUGAUGCCAUGUAACUUCUAUUUGCCUUGGACACUACUUGGCAAGCCUGCUGUCUCUAGGCCAUUUCAAACCUCUCAUAUCCACCCUUUCAGCAGAUAAUCUCAUUUCUUCCCUGCAAAAAGGUAAAGGCAUAGCAAAGUGGCCUAUGUUUUAUUCUCAGGUUUGCUCUUUACAUUGUAUCUUCCAGUCUAACGUCACAUUAUGUACAGGUGACACCUAUUAAAAACAGAAAACCUUAACUUGAUUCUGUUGCUUCUGUCAAUUGCUCAUUGGACUUAUUUUUGACUCACUUCUCCCCUACAAUCUAUCACCAAGUCCCAAUGAGUCUAGCUUUGAAAAGGUUUGUUUUGUUUCCCACUGCAACCUUCAUAGUCCAGGUCCUUAUGGUGUAAUUCCUACAACUCAUACCUGUCUAAUGCAUCCUGCUUACAAAUGCCAGAUUAAUAGUACGGUGUUGACCCUCUGCUACUCAAAAGGUCUACAGUAAUGGAAAACUGGUCAUCACAGUGUUAAAAACUCUCUUUAAUUUAGCUCUACUUUUCCAACCAACCACUUCUCCCACUAGUUUUCCCUAUAACUUUCUACUUCUGCCUCUACAGUUCAUGCUGUUUCCCUGACCCGGAAUGCUCUCCUCUUUCCUUCAUUUUAACACUCAAUGUCCUUUAAGGCCAGUUCAAACCCUUCACUGAGCCUUCCUUCACCACUUGGACUGGAGCUGAUGCUUCUCGGUCUCAUCUACAGCAUUUACUAUGGGCACUCUAUCUUUUGGUCCUUAAAGUCUUUUCUCUUCAGCAUGACUGUUCGUGAAUGCCUUUGUGUCAGCAGUAGCAUUAGGGAUUUCUCCAAAAGCACCUAGGCAAAUGCCAGACAUACAGUGGGUACUCAAAACUGAACUGAAUUGAAUUUCAGGGCCUGUUUUCCUCAUCUCUAAAAUAAAAGGUAUAGACUAGGAAAACAAAAAAACAAAAACAAAAAUCUCGUUUCUAAAUGUUUUUAUCCUUUGAAAAUGUUUAAGGAAUAAAAUUUUUUUCUAGCAACCUAGUUUUGUAACAAGUACGAUUAAAUGUGCUAGAUACCAUGUAAAUCAAACACUAUACAUGUUAACAGUCAUAAACAGUAAAUCUAACUUAAUUCAACAGUAGCACUUACCAUAAGCAAAGCAUGGUAGGAAGGACAAGACACAAAGAGGAAUAAGCCACUCUGCACUUAGUAGCUUAUAUAUUAGAUGGAGAAAGAGUGAGGUAAAAGUGAUAAUAUAAGGAGAAUUAAUACUAAAAAUGGAUGUGUUUUUCCAUUACCUGUUUUUCCAGAGCAACUUUUCCUACUUCUUUCGUAGAUGAUGUGAGUGUUUCAUUCAAGCACUGUAAGCUAAAGAAAAGCAAAGGGAUUAAACUUCAUGCCAAGCACAAUGGAAGACUUCAUUAAGAGUUCACAGGUUUUUAUUGAGCUCUCAUCAUAUGCCCAAUGUGUCAAGUAUAUGUAAGUCACACAGGAACUGAGAUAACCUCGUGGAGAUCCCACAGCUGACAACAAGACACAAGAUCGAAAGGUUUACACUCCCUGGCACGAUACUUGAGGAAAAUGUUCAAAAAUUGAUUGUGGUGAUGAAUUUACAACUAUAUGAUGGUAC